UUCUAUUUGUUUUGCAAAGAAGAAAGAAAAAGAGAACAAAAAUAAACGAAGAGAGAAAAAAAGAAAAUCGAGAAAUCACCUCUUUGAUUUUUUUUUUGUAUUCAGUAUCUGUAAAAAAAAAUCCUUAGUACAUACUCCUUUGGCCCUUUUAUAGCCAAAAUCGAAAAAUUACAAUAAAUAAAAUAAAAUAAAUCUAUUAUUCACUGGCCCC
Molecule: long non-coding RNA, 211 nt
Filed under: Gossypium raimondii (Peruvian cotton)
Lineage: Eukaryota; Viridiplantae; Streptophyta; Magnoliopsida; Malvales; Malvaceae
Description: long non-coding RNA (GRAI_LNC008170)
Source: RNAcentral